Humulus lupulus (European hop) is the source of this 618-nucleotide RNA transcript. RefSeq lists it as uncharacterized. The record is from RefSeq and is a predicted model, not a curated record. NCBI's taxonomy places the organism in Eukaryota, Viridiplantae, Streptophyta, Magnoliopsida, Rosales, Cannabaceae. The transcript is spliced from 5 exons.
AUACUUAAUUCUUACUUUUUGCACUUUCUAUUUAUAACUUUGGCCACUGUAUUAUGACUUAGAAACACUUAGUUAGCUUUGAUUUCUAUCUUUUGCAUGGUUGUUGAAGUAAGUACAUCUGUGAUGCUGAAAGUUUUCUUAAUGUUUUCUAGGAUGACAUUGUUCUUAAUUCUUUGUGCAGGCAUGCACUUAGACUCUGAUCUAGUGAUGUUAAGCUUGAAGGAAAUUGGAAAACUCAAGGCUGCCUCCAAGAGAAGAGGCAAAAUACUUGGUGUGCAAGCAAUCUCUCACGAGAGACUCUUACUUUUGUUUGCAUUUUGCAAGAGGGUCAUCUAAAGUGAAUUUGAUGUCUUUGAAACAAGAUUACUUGGAAUGGAGAAUGUUACAAUGUACCUACAUUUGGACUACGUUUUUAUUUCUUGACGGUGGAAGAGCUGUGCAGGGCGCUUUUGGAAAAAAUGCUCUAGUUGGAUUUGGUUUGACAACUUACACAAUGCUUGGAUUAGGAGUGGUGUGUAGAUGUGACUGGAGCUUACAGUGCUCUAAAGACGGAGCUUAACAUAAGCUUGACAGCAAUAGGCCUUUUGUGGACUACAACUGGCUUUAUUGCAAAGAGGA